Molecule: ribosomal RNA, 466 nt
Filed under: uncultured bacterium
Lineage: Bacteria
Description: partial 16S ribosomal RNA
Rfam family: Bacterial small subunit ribosomal RNA
Source: RNAcentral
GACGAACGCUGGCGGCGUGCUUAACACAUGCCAGUCGAACGGAAAGGCCCUGCUUGCAGGGUACUCGAGUGGCGAACGGGUGAGUAACACGUGGGUGAUCUGCCCUGCACUUCGGGAUAAGCCUGGGAAACUGGGUCUAAUACCGGAUAGGAGCCAUUUUUAGUGUGAUGGUUGGAAAGUUUUUUUCGGUGUAGGAUGAGCUCGCGGCCUAUCAGCUUGUUGGUGGGGUAAUGGCCUACCAAGGCGGCGACGGGUAGCCGGCCUGAGAGGGUGGACGGCCACAGUGGGACUGAGAGACGGCCCAGACUCCUACGGGAGGCAGCAGUGGGGAAGAUUGCACAAUGGGCGCAAGCCGGAUGCAGCGACGCCGCGGGGGGGAGGACGGCCUUCGGGUUGUAAACUCCGUUCGCUAGGGACGAAGCUUUUUGUGACGGUACCUAGAUAAGAAGCACCGGCUAACUACGUG